AUUGAACGCUGGCGGCAGGCCUAACACAUGCAAGUCGAACGAGUGGCGGACGGGUGAGUCGUGUCUGGGAAACUGCCCGAUUACGGGGGAUAACUACUGGAAACGGUAGCUAAUACCGCAUACCAUCGGAUGUGCCCAGAUGGGAUUAGCUAGUAGGUGGGGGAAAGGCUCACCUAGGCCACGAUCCCCAGCUGGUCUGAGAGGCUGACCAGCCACCAUGGAACGGAGACAGGGGCCAGCCUCCUACGGGAGGCAGAAGUGGGAAAUAUUGGACAAUGGGGGCAAGCCUGACGAAGCAAUGCCGGGUGUAUGAAGAAGGCCUUCGGGUGGUAAAGUACUUUCAGAGAGGAGGCGUUACCCGCAGAAGAAGCACCGGCUAACUCCGUGCCAGCAGCCGCGGUAAUUC
RNAcentral lists this ribosomal RNA (406 nucleotides) under uncultured bacterium. RNAcentral's name for it is "partial 16S ribosomal RNA". It matches the Rfam family "Bacterial small subunit ribosomal RNA", at positions 29 to 526 of the family's 1533-position model. The record is from RNAcentral.